AGUGAACGCUGGCGGCAGGCCUAAUACAUGCAAGUCGAACGGCAGCACAGUGGAGCUUGCUCCAUGGGUGGCGAGUGGCGGACGGGUGAGGAAUACAUGGGAAUCUGCCCAGUCGUGGGGGAUAACGUAUGGAAACGUACGCUAAUACCGCAUGCGCCCUAAGGGGGAAAGCCGGGGACCGCAAGGCCUGGCGCGAUUGGAUGAGCCCAUGUUCGAUUAGCUAGUUGGCGGGGUAAAGGCCCACCAAGGCGACGAUCGAUAGCUGGUCUGAGAGGAUGAUCAGCCACACUGGAACUGAGACACGGUCCAGACUCCUACGGGAGGCAGCAGUAGGGAAUAUUGGACAAUGGGGGCAACCCUGAUCCAGCCAUGCCGCGUGAGUGAAGAAGGCCCUCGGGUUGUAAAGCUCUUUUGUCCGGAAAGAAAAGCAAUCGGUUAAUACCCGGUUGUUCUGACGGUACCGGAAGAAUAAGCACCGGCUAACUUCGUGCCAGCAG
This 497-nucleotide ribosomal RNA is filed under the name uncultured bacterium. Its description in RNAcentral is "bacterial SSU rRNA". It matches the Rfam family "Bacterial small subunit ribosomal RNA", at positions 29 to 514 of the family's 1533-position model. The record is from RNAcentral.